Molecule: long non-coding RNA, 635 nt
Filed under: Prunus persica (peach)
Lineage: Eukaryota; Viridiplantae; Streptophyta; Magnoliopsida; Rosales; Rosaceae
Description: long non-coding RNA (PPER_LNC005309)
Source: RNAcentral
AGCCCAGAGACUUGAGAAAAACAAAAAUUAAGAUCCAAACAGUUUGGGCUUCACACCAAGAACGUUGGAAAUAAAGCCUCAGCCCAAAGAAAGCCCAGAUGUGGAAACUUUCGAAAUGGACUUCAAAAGAUCAGCCCGUAAUUUUCGAUAGAUUCAAAACCAAGGGAUCAAAGACACACCCACGUGAUUGCCUCAGCUUUGGAAAAGUCAGCAUUUUCAACUAAAAUUUAAAAAUGUGAGAGGGACGUCUCUGAAACACUGCCAAUUGAAGAUCAAAAACCCAUCUGUGUUCAAGAUUUUGCUCCAAAUCAAUACACCAUCUCCCAAGAAAUUCACAGAUCACGCUUUCUAAAUUAGAACGGGAAACAGGGAACCACUCAGAAAAUACAAAAGAAAAAGAGCCAAAACCGCCAUAAAAAGCCCACACAGACGGUGGCGUUGGUUGAAUUAGAAAGCUGCCACCCAGAAAACCAGGGAAGGGACUGUUUUUAGGAGGUGACUGCUCAGAACCUAUCUAAAAAACCCUUCUUACUUUACAUUAUAAGAGAUCUUUUUGCCGCCCAUUAUUUAAAAGAUUAAAAAUGACCUCCUUAGGAGGAUCUCUUAUAAAAGCGAAAGAAGGCAAAGAAACAAAG